RNAcentral lists this unclassified non-coding RNA (294 nucleotides) under Hevea brasiliensis (rubber tree). The record is from RNAcentral. Lineage: Eukaryota; Viridiplantae; Streptophyta; Magnoliopsida; Malpighiales; Euphorbiaceae.
AUUAAAGCAAAACUGAGUAUAUACAUGAGUUUCAUGUGGUUUAAGCUCUUUACAGUGUAUUGGCAAUUAACUUCAAAGCAUGAAGUUGACUAUCGUUUGGGCUUGUUUAAUUUGUAAUUUAUAAAUAUUGAAAUGUGAGUAUAUACUUGAAUUUGAGAUUUGCUGUGCUAAUUGAGAGGAUUGGAUUGGGAAGAUCAAAGGUAUUUGUCAAAAACAGACAAUUGUUAGUUAUGGGUGAAGUUAACUUGGUGGUGGUUUUGCGUGUGAAAAAUGGUUGCAGAUAUGCUUGCUUUG